UACAGAGGGGGCAAGCGUUGUUCGGAAUUACUGGGCGUAAAGAGUUCGUAGGCGGUUUGUCGCGUCGUUCGUGAAAACUUGGGGCUUAACUCCAAGCGUGCGGGCGAUACGGGCAGACUUGAGUACUACAGGGGAGACUGGAAUUCCUGGUGUAGCGGUGAAAUGCGCAGAUAUCAGGAGGAACACCGGUGGCGAAGGCGGGUCUCUGGGUAGUAACUGACGCUGAGGAACGAAAGCGUGGGUAGCGAACAGG
Molecule: ribosomal RNA, 253 nt
Filed under: uncultured bacterium
Lineage: Bacteria
Description: partial 16S ribosomal RNA
Rfam family: Bacterial small subunit ribosomal RNA
Source: RNAcentral